Molecule: ribosomal RNA, 217 nt
Filed under: Clostridioides difficile
Lineage: Bacteria; Bacillati; Bacillota; Clostridia; Peptostreptococcales; Peptostreptococcaceae
Description: partial 23S ribosomal RNA
Rfam family: Bacterial large subunit ribosomal RNA
Source: RNAcentral
GUACCUCUGGUGUACCAGUUGCCAAGGGCAUGGCUGGGUAGCUAUGUACGGAAUGGAUAAGCGCUGAAAGCAUCUAAGAGCGAAGCCAACUUCAAGAUAAGAUUUCCCACCGUAAGGGUAAGGCCCCAGAAAGACUAUCUAGUUGAUAGGUCGAAGGUGUAAGUGCAGCAAUGUAUUUAGCUUAUCGAUACUAAUAGGUCGAGGACUUGACCAAAUU